GUAAGUUUGCUACUGUUCUGAAUCGUAAUGUAAAUAUCUGUGUUCUCCAGUGGUCUUAGGUGGCCCCUGCGAAAGGGUCAUUAGAUACCCCAAAGGGGCUGUGUGACCCAUAGGUUGAGAAAUACUGCUUUAUAUCACCCCUCUUUCCGUCACCCCUCUUUCCAUCACCCCUCUUUCCUUCUCUCUGCCUUGGUGUUCACGUUUGUCCAUGGCAUCAUGCCUUGCUUGCAGCUCGACAGCUCUGGUCACAAUUCCUUGAAUUCUCUCUGUUAAGGUCCUGAAAUAGUAAGUAUGGGUGUGUUUACCCCUAAGUGGAGAUCUACCAGUCUGGAUUGCUUUUCUGUUUGGCCGGUUUGGGGAUUCUUGUCCAGCCUGUCGGUGGCUGACUAUCGGACGACAGCCCCUGGCCUAGAUGGCUGGGUUCUGGGUGGCAACAAAGAUGCUCACAUGCGUACCUCUUCUCCCUCUCAGUCGCUGAAGAAAGAUACAGUGGACUUGCAUGUUCUUUGGCUGUCUCCGUUGCUCUUCAGCCCUGGUGCCCGGGGCUGUGGUGAAUGUCUUGCAGAGCCACAGGUCCCUGAGGAAGGUAUUUUAAAAUGGACAUUUCCUUGCAGCUGCUCAGCACAUCCAGUAGGUGGCCCAGCCUCCACUUCUGCAGAUGAAUGAGGAUGUAAGCACUCCUUUGAUGAUGGUUUUCAUUAGCUCUGCAAGACUUCUAACUGCUUGUGGAGGACCGGCUUCUAAAGAGAGAAAGGCUUCUGACGAAUGCGGUAGAAUGUUCUAUUAGGCGUCUGAACAUUGCACUCAGAUAUUCCUAUCACAUGAUGGCAUCUAUCAUUUUAUGACUCAGCAGGAGACCCUGGUCAGAUGUGCCUCUCCCCUUUUCAGCUGUGCCUCCAAAACCUGAAAGUAAUUUUGGUGUUCAACAUGUGGAGAACCGCAGGAGGACCCAACUUAGUAGUCAUCUUGCCUAACCUGUUUCAUGGUAUCUGGUGCAUUUGGAUUUGCAUUUCACUUGCAGCACACCUUACUCUUUCCCACAUGAACAUCCUGCUGUCCCUGUGCCUGUUACAGACAGGACUAGAUUCCUUCCCUCAAUGAAUGCUUUUGACAGCAUUGUCAAACAUCAGUUAACCCUCUGAAUAGGGUUGCAAAAGGGACAUCCAUGGCAGCCUGACUACUUUUACAAAAUGGCGUUGGAUUUUUCAACUGCAUUUUAUGGAUCAGUUGAGGUGAUUAUGUGGAUUUCUUGUUGUGUAUGCUUUUGCUUUCUCUCAUUAGUGGGACUUAAUGUGUUGCCUUUUUGGUGUGGAAUCCAUCUGCAUUUGUGGAGAAAAUCUCACUUGGUCAGUGGUUUACUUCUCAUUUGGUCAGAGUGUAUAAUCUCUGCAGCAUGUUGCUAUGUAACCUUUGCUACU
Long non-coding RNA from Peromyscus californicus insignis, 1418 nucleotides. RefSeq lists it as uncharacterized. Lineage: Eukaryota; Metazoa; Chordata; Mammalia; Rodentia; Cricetidae. The record is from RefSeq and is a predicted model, not a curated record. The transcript is spliced from 5 exons.